RNAcentral lists this ribosomal RNA (253 nucleotides) under uncultured bacterium. RNAcentral's name for it is "partial 16S ribosomal RNA". It matches the Rfam family "Bacterial small subunit ribosomal RNA", at positions 524 to 776 of the family's 1533-position model. The record is from RNAcentral.
GACAGAGGGUGCAAACGUUGCUCGGAAUCACUGGGCGUAAAGGGCGUGUAGGCGGGGAGGUAAGUCAGAUGUGAAAUCCCCAGGCUCAACCUGGGAACUGCAUUUGAAACUCCCUUUCUUGAGUACCGGAGAGGAAAGUGGAAUUCCUGGUGUAGAGGUGAAAUUCGUAGAUAUCAGGAGGAACACCAGUGGCGAAGGCGGCUUUCUGGACGGUAACUGACGCUGAGACGCGAAAGCGUGGGGAGCAAACAGG